Molecule: ribosomal RNA, 1382 nt
Filed under: uncultured bacterium
Lineage: Bacteria
Description: bacterial SSU rRNA
Rfam family: Bacterial small subunit ribosomal RNA
Source: RNAcentral
GAAUUCGCCCUUAGAGUUUGAUCCUGGCUCAGGACGAACGCUGGCGGCGCGCCUAACACAUGCAAGUCGAACGAGAGAUGAGGAGCUUGCUCUUCAAAUCGAGUGGCGAACGGGUGAGUAACGCGUGAGGAACCUGCCUCAAAGAGGGGGACAACAGUUGGAAACGACUGCUAAUACCGCAUAAGCCCACGGCUCGGCAUCGAGCAGAGGGAAAAGGAGCAAUCCGCUUUGAGAUGGCCUCGCGUCCGAUUAGCUAGUUGGUGAGGUAACGGCCCACCAAGGCGACGAUCGGUAGCCGGACUGAGAGGUUGAACGGCCACAUUGGGACUGAGACACGGCCCAGACUCCUACGGGAGGCAGCAGUGGGGAAUAUUGCACAAUGGGGGAAACCCUGAUGCAGCGACGCCGCGUGGAGGAAGAAGGUCUUCGGAUUGUAAACUCCUGUUGUUGAGGAAGAUAAUGACGGUACUCAACAAGGAAGUGACGGCUAACUACGUGCCAGCAGCCGCUGUAAAACGUAGGUCACAAGCGUUGUCCGGAAUUACUGGGUGUAAAGGGAGCGCAGGCGGGAGAACAAGUUGGAAGUGAAAUCCAUGGGCUCAACCCAUGAACUGCUUUCAAAACUGUUUUUCUUGAGUAGUGCAGAGGUAGGCGGAAUUCCCGGUGUAGCGGUGGAAUGCGUAGAUAUCGGGAGGAACACCAGUGGCGAAGGCGGCCUACUGGGCACCAACUGACGCUGAGGCUCGAAAGUGUGGGUAGCAAACAGGAUUAGAUACCCUGGUAGUCCACACCGUAAACGAUGAUUACUAGGUGUUGGAGGAUUGACCCCUUCAGUGCCGCAGUUAACACAAUAAGUAAUCCACCUGGGGAGUACGACCGCAAGGUUGAAACUCAAAGGAAUUGACGGGGGCCCGCACAAGCAGUGGAGUAUGUGGUUUAAUUCGACGCAACGCGAAGAACCUUACCAAGUCUUGACAUCCCUUGACGAUGCUGGAAACAGUAUUUCUCUUCGGAGCAAGGAGACAGGUGGUGCAUGGUUGUCGUCAGCUCGUGUCGUGAGAUGUUGGGUUAAGUCCCGCAACGAGCGCAACCCUUAUGGUCAGUUACUACGCAAGAGGACUCUGGCCAGACUGCCGUUGACAAAACGGAGGAAGGUGGGGAUGACGUCAAAUCAUCAUGCCCUUUAUGACUUGGGCUACACACGUACUACAAUGGCGUUAAACAAAGAGAAGCAAGACCGCGAGGUGGAGCAAAACUCAGAAACAACGUCCCAGUUCGGACUGCAGGCUGCAACUCGCCUGCACGAAGUCGGAAUUGCUAGUAAUCGUGGAUCAGCAUGCCACGGUGAAUACGUUCCCGGGCCUUGCACACACCGCCCGUCA